AUUGAACGCUGGCGGCAUGCCUUACACAUGCAAGUCGAACGGCAGCACGGGAGCAAUCCUGGUGGCGAGUGGCGAACGGGUGAGUAAAGCAUCGGAACGUGCCCUGGAAUGGGGGAUAACGUAGCGAAAGUUACGCUAAUACCGCAUAUUCUGUGAGCAGGAAAGCAGGGGAUCUUCGGACCUUGCGUUUCAGGAGCGGCCGAUGUCGGAUUAGCUAGUUGGUGGGGUAAAGGCCUACCAAGGCGACGAUCCGUAGCGGGUCUGAGAGGAUGAUCCGCCACACUGGAACUGAGACACGGUCCAGACUCCUACGGGAGGCAGCAGUGGGGAAUAUUGGGCAAUGGGCGCAAGCCUGACCCAGCCAACGCCGCGUGAGGGAAGAAGGCUUUCGGGUUGUAAACCUCUGUCCUUGGUGACGAAAAAAUGACGGUAGCCAAGGAGGAAGCCCCGGCUAACUACGUG
This 462-nucleotide ribosomal RNA is filed under the name uncultured bacterium. Its description in RNAcentral is "bacterial SSU rRNA". It matches the Rfam family "Bacterial small subunit ribosomal RNA", at positions 29 to 507 of the family's 1533-position model. The record is from RNAcentral.